GUAGUACUAUCUUAGUUUAUUAACUAAAAUGGUUUGGCAGUGAGUGAUUCUUUUUAGGGGAAGGUGUGGUGUAAAGGAUGUUCCGCCUAUUAAUUUACUUUUAUUAUGUUGGUGUAUAUCUGGUUUAAUAUUAUUGUUGAAUAAUAUUAGUUUGUGUAAUUUUAUUAGUUAAGCCAAGUCUAUGUGCUGCUUAUAGAAGUAUUCAUGCGUUACUUUAAUAAAGUUUUAGUUGUAAGUACUAUCAUAUUCAGGACUUAAAAGUAAUGUUAAAUUAGUU
RNAcentral lists this ribosomal RNA (277 nucleotides) under Taenia multiceps. RNAcentral describes it as "partial 12S ribosomal RNA". The record is from RNAcentral. Lineage: Eukaryota; Metazoa; Platyhelminthes; Cestoda; Cyclophyllidea; Taeniidae.